This 468-nucleotide ribosomal RNA is filed under the name uncultured bacterium. Its description in RNAcentral is "partial 16S ribosomal RNA". It matches the Rfam family "Bacterial small subunit ribosomal RNA", at positions 28 to 507 of the family's 1533-position model. The record is from RNAcentral.
GACGAACGCUGGCGGCGUGCUUAACACAUGCAAGUCGAACGGAACGGCCCUGCUUUUGUGGGGUGCUCGAGUGGCGAACGGGUGAGUAACACGUGGGUAACCUGCCCUUUACUUUGGGAUAAGUUCAGGAAACUGGGGCUAAUACCGGAUAGGAGUUCCUGCUGCAUGGGGGGUUGGGGAACUUUUGGGCGGUGGGGGAUGGGCUCGCGGCUUAUCAGCUUGUUGGUGGGGUAGUGGCUUACCAAGGCGUUGACGGGUAGCCGGCCUGAGAGGGUGACCGGCCACAUUGGGACUGAGAUACGGCCCAGACUCCUACGGGAGGCAGCAGUGGGGAAUAUUGCACAAUGGGCGGAAGCCUGAUGCAGCAACGCCGCGUGCGGGAUGACGGCCUUCGGGUUGUAAACCGCUUUCGCCAGGGACGAAGCGUGAGUGACGGUACCGGGUAAAGAAGCACCGGCUAACUACGUG